UUACUGGAAGUACUUUCAUGAUGGCGAGUUCGGCUGACCUGAUAAAUGGAGUGAAAAUGAUUUGAAAUUGCGCACCAUGGGAUAUUUUACGAAUAUGUGAACCUAAAGGCAAAGCAACAGAAAAUUAAAUUUAGAACGCCCUGACACCGUAAAACAAGCAAAUGAUCAGGAAAUAUCAUCGAUCCAAUUGCAGAUGAGAGAAAUGGUAAAUGCAUGACCAUGGAAGAAAUGGAAAAACGGAAGGUGGACAAUCCGGAGCACCCAAAAUGGUAUAGGAAGCGAUACCCAAAUUUAAGGAUAGAAGACCGUUCAAACUUUGUUUAUAAACCCUAAUUUAAAUUCGCUUAAUCAUAUUUUAUUUUGGAAGACAAAACAUGCUGAAUAAAUAUAAUUAAAUUUAAA
Molecule: long non-coding RNA, 402 nt
Filed under: Aedes aegypti (yellow fever mosquito)
Lineage: Eukaryota; Metazoa; Arthropoda; Insecta; Diptera; Culicidae
Description: lncRNA AAEL027276
Source: RNAcentral